AUCAUAUGGAAGCAUGAUGAUUGGGUGUUCACGCGCUUGUGUGAGAUGUGCCUCCCUCAAGCCUUGUUACAACAUCAGCACAUUACCCAUCUGACG
RNAcentral lists this small nucleolar RNA (96 nucleotides) under Rhinolophus ferrumequinum (greater horseshoe bat). Its description in RNAcentral is "Small nucleolar RNA U13 (ENSRFEG00010009056.1)". It matches the Rfam family "Small nucleolar RNA U13". Lineage: Eukaryota; Metazoa; Chordata; Mammalia; Chiroptera; Rhinolophidae. The record is from Rfam by way of RNAcentral.